This 468-nucleotide ribosomal RNA is filed under the name uncultured bacterium. RNAcentral describes it as "partial 16S ribosomal RNA". It matches the Rfam family "Bacterial small subunit ribosomal RNA", at positions 28 to 507 of the family's 1533-position model. The record is from RNAcentral.
GACGAACGCUGGCGGCGUGCUUAACACAUGCAAGUCGAACGGAAAGGCCCUGCUUUUGUGGGGUGCUCGAGUGGCGAACGGGUGAGUAACACGUGAGUAACCUGCCCUUGACUUUGGGAUAACUUCAGGAAACUGGGGCUAAUACCGGAUAGGAGCUCCUGCUGCAUGGUGGGGGUUGGAAGGUUUCGGCGGUUGGGGAUGGACUCGCGGCUUAUCAGCUUGUUGGUGGGGUAGUGGCUUACCAAGGCUUUGACGGGUAGCCGGCCUGAGAGGGUGCCCGGCCACAUUGGGACUGAGAUACGGCCCAGACUCCUACGGGAGGCAGCAGUGGGGAAUAUUGCACAAUGGGCGGAAGCCUGAUGCAGCAACGCCGCGUGCGGGAUGACGGCCUUCGGGUUGUAAACCGCUUUCGCCUGUGACGAAGCGUGAGUGACGGUAAUGGGUAAAGAAGCACCGGCUAACUACGUG